Molecule: long non-coding RNA, 1143 nt
Filed under: Callithrix jacchus (white-tufted-ear marmoset)
Lineage: Eukaryota; Metazoa; Chordata; Mammalia; Primates; Cebidae
Description: lncRNA (ENSCJAG00000077625.1)
Source: RNAcentral
AUGGAGAGCUGUGUGGCCGGUACCGGUAUGACUGUCCAUGUGCCAGCGCACCCGUAUCACACCAGGCCUGAAAGCAGCACCGGGCCACAUCCUGGCAGCUCAGGACGGGCUUCGGAGCCCCGCAGAAGUUCGCCCGAGGGCGCUCCCGCACUCGCGUCUUCCAGGGCCCUCCUGAGCGUCCAAGGCUGCUGCGGAUGCGCGCACUUCCCGCCGGGAUCCCGAAGGCCGCACGGUGCAGACGCGGUCCCCGCGGGGAGGGCGCGAGCGAGUGGGUGGGUCGGGGGCUCUCCGGGGCUUAGCGAGUCCGGCCGGGGCCGGGGCCCGGGCCGGGGAGGGCGGAGGGCGGCGCUCCAGGUCCUUCCCUGGCCCGGACGUCGAGCCCCGUCCUCUGCACCCCGGCGUCCGGCUCCGGUCCCGCCCGGUGUCCCGCGCAGGGUCGGCCGCUGGCAGCUCCGGAAGGAGGACACGCGAGGGGCGAGGAGCUGCCUCCUCCCCUUCCCCGCGCUCGGGCCCCCCGCCCACACCCCCGCCGGCCCCCUCGGGACCCUCCAGGCCCCCGGUCCCUCCAGACCCGGCCCCAGGCGCCCACCUGGCUGCCAGUGCGCGCGCGCGCGUCCGGCGCGCUGUCCCUUUAACGGCCCGCGGGCACCUCCCCCGCCGCCACCGCCCCGCCCCCGCCGCGGUGCGGCCGCCGGUGCUGGGCGAGGUCGGAGAAAGUCCAUGGGAGCCGGAGCGCCGGGACGCCGAGCACUUCCUGCCGCUGGCGGCGCGCCGCAGCUGCCCAGGCCGGACCGGGCCGGGCGCCCGCAGGUACCGCCAAGUUGGCGCGCGCGGCCGCCCCUGUGUUGCGCCGCCGGGCGGGGUCGUCCCGCGACCGGGCCCGCACUUCCCGCAACUCCGCGUCCGCCCAACUUGGCGCGGACCCCUGCCGCAGUGCCGGCCGCGCGGGGCGGGUGCGGCCGAGUUCCGCGGCCGGGCCGUGCGCGCGGGAGCCGGGCUCGGGAACCCGCGGAGGGGGCCGGGCGGGGCCGGGGAGUCCCAGCGGAGGCGCCCGCGACCGGGGGCCGGGACCCCGUACGGCGCGUUCUGGGGAGACCCCAGCCCCGGGCGUCCCGGGGCGCUCCCCGCCCCUGCACCCCCUGA